Molecule: long non-coding RNA, 3002 nt
Organism: Haemorhous mexicanus (house finch)
Lineage: Eukaryota; Metazoa; Chordata; Aves; Passeriformes; Fringillidae
Exons: 3
Source: RefSeq, a predicted model, not a curated record
CGUGACUGUAAGGGAGGCAGAGAAGGGGCCGUUCCCAGCUGGGAAAACAUUAACUUUUAUUCAACUUGCAGUGCAGAACAGAGGACUGAAGAGAAACUUGGAGGAAAGGGAAAUGUGUCUGAUGGGGCUCUGAGAGUUCAGCACCACAGACUGGUCCAAUGGCCACUGGCCAGGCUGCAAUCAGAUCCCCUGGGGCCCUUUGCCACCACACCUGGGGACUCUUGAGCCCCCAUCCAAAACUGAACUGGGAUACCUGACUCUGGGAAAAUUCUUACAGCCUAGUUUAGAAAUGUCUUUGAAGAAUCUGGAGAUUGUUAAAAGCAGAUGUCACAACUGUCUUGAGCAUAGUGAGAUGGGGGAAAAGGAGCUCUCCUGAGAAGUCUGACAGUCUGCCACAAAGAAAUUGGUACAAAAGCUGUGAGCCCCAAGCUCCCACGGAGAUGCACCAUCUUGUGAGAAUUAACAGAAGUCAGACACGUAAGAUCUUUGCUUCUUUUAGAAACCUUAUCAGCUCUAUUUCUAGUAGCAACCUGGCCUAUUCCCUCAGAAGAGGGAAUGUUACCUGCUUCUUCCACCUCUUUUAUAUAGUGAAGAAAUUAGUUCAAUUCAUAAAGAUGAGAGGCAUUUGACCUCUCACCUCUUCAUGCUGAAGUUAGCCACACAUUUCAGUCAUUGCAAAUCUGGCGGUGUGGUAAAGAAUGGUUUAUUCUAGAAUAAAGUAAGCUCACCACAAGAGGUAUUUAUAUCAUCAGAAGAACCUCUACCUCAUUUGAAGCUUCCCAAGCAUUCUCCCCACCCCCGCACUCCAUCUCCUUUUCCAGAUUUUGCAUAUGUGUCUUUCCAGGUCAAGAAUUACGUGAGGCACCUGGAAUUAUGUGCUUGGCCUCCUUUAUUAUACUUCCAGUAUCUCAUUAGACGAGGGAUCUUUCAAAGGGCAAGAACAUGUUGAACAGCCAGCAGUUUUCAGAAACAGCAGGUGACUAAAAAUACUUCAUUUUCUUUGCUACUCAGGCCAUGACAAAUGUAAGCCUGGACUGGGCUGCUGAAGAAGUAGGAGACAAUAAAAAGACAAGUUAGAUGUAGAGGAAGUCCUCUGACCUUUAGAAAGAAACAGCUAUCACUUCCAAAAGCAUCCUGCUUUUUUGUCAAGUUUCAAGUAAAACACUGAAUACACGUACAGUGUCACUUGAAGAAAUACAAAUAAGGAAUACUUGCAGAGUAAUUCAAAGAGAUUAUUAUGAAGUAAUUGAACAUUGAGGUCUACUAGAUUGAAAUCUACCAGAAAAUACUUGUUGGCAGGUCAGUCAACAAAAAGUCGGUCUACAUAGUUCCAUUUGAAGAGCUUCUCAUUUUACAUUUUUUAUGCUGUUUUGCUUAGACACUUCAUAUAACAGUGCAUGCCUUUGAUCUUUAACAGAAACCUUCCUUCACCAUUAAAACCCCCAUUAAGUCCCUUAAAGUUACAUUUGAAAAUAAUUCUAGCUUCUAAGUGACUUAUAAACUUUAUACAGUUAGCUCUUCUGGGAGGAUUCCUUUUCCUCAUGUGAGUGUGUCAAGUUGGAUUGCCUGAUACUUGUGCUUAGUUUUCACCAGUUUAUCAGUAGUUCAGAAUGGUAUCUGUCUGAUGACUGUAUUUGUACAUCGAGAGAACAAACAAAUUACAAGCAAAUGCUGCGUGUGAUGUGAAACUUGCAGGCGUGUGCUACCUUGUCAAUUUUUGCUUCUAUUGCACUAGAAACUUCAAAUGUCCAAGGAGGAGUCCCAUUUCAAAUAGUGCUUUACUACUUGGUACCUGCUGGACAGAAAUCAAUGGACUUUCAGUCAUGCUGAUUUCUUUCUGCUAAGCAUAAGUUCAUAGUUGUUAAAGGUCCCUUCCUCAUUCUGAAAACAAUCUUGGGAGUUCACUCAUCUAAAGAUGAGCAAGGAGGAUGCAUAAGAAACACAAGAUUUUGCAGAGAAAGGAACAAAAUAAAUAUGCAGCCCAGAGAUUUUAUGUCAGCAUCCAGUCCAUUAACUCAAGCUGAUCCAAGUUAGUUUGCCUCUGGCUCUUUCUGCCCCUUCCUCUCUACCCUUACUACGUUUUAUGCUGUUACAAGAGGGAUGGAUUUUACUGUAUGAGAUUCAAUGUCCACCAUGUGUUCAUGCAGCACCACUGUGCUACAUGUCAUUCAUAAUGUUCAUGGUUGUGGCCAUGCAACAUAAAUUAACACAAAAUUAUCCUCUGGAAUGCUGCAGUUGACAGCUAUUUUACUAUAUUCUGUUAUGGUCUGCAGCCUGAAUUGGCCAUCAACAUUCUUUCUGUUCUUAAAGACAGAAUGAUCAUGGUUAUUUACAGGGUUAUAAAGCUAUGGAGUCUUCCUGUAAAAUCGCAGUGUGGAAUUUGUUGUGAACAGAAUAGAGCUGACUACAUUGCUAUAGCAGAAUAACUUGCAGCCAGAAUUGAAUUACAUUCUUAAAAGCUAUUUUUAACAAUGUUUUCAGAAAUAGAUUGCUGUUGCUUGAUUUUUGUCCUACUUGUUUUUGAACUGUAGGGAAAACCUGACAUUAUCAUGUUAAUGCAGUUUGUAUUGUAUGGAUAUGUAAUACAAAUGUGUUUUCAUGAAAACCCACUUGAAGUUACUGUGUUGAACCACUCAAUACAGCUGGAUUAUUUUCAGAUUCUCUGUAAAUUCCUGAUCGCAAGGUAAUUCAAACAAACAAUUCUCACAGACUUUCUUGGAAGCCCAUGCAGGAUUAAUCUAAACAGGAGGUACAAUAGAAAGCUCCACUUUAUUAUAGGACCAGAGUUUAUCCAUUGACUUCAGCACCCUUCAGAGUGUAAAGCACAUGAGUUCUUCUUUUCUUGUCUAAACUAUUUUGAAUGAGGUCUCUUUACAUGCUAGUUUGGCAAGCUUCUAAGGCAUUUGUGCAAAGUGAUGAUCCAAGAGCAACCUGAUUCAAUACUGAGAAAUUCAUAAAUAACAUCCAGCAGUAAUUAAAGUGAAAAACUACAGCUAAGAAAA